UCCGCCUCAAUGACUGAUGCUGUUGGAGAUGAACCAACUGAACUUGCUAGAAAAAAUAGAGAUAUUGAAGAGAUUUUAACAGUUGUAGAAGAUGAAAUUCAAUACGAUGAUCCCACCGUCUCUCAAAUAUCAAAAGGUGGCUGAAAGGGAAGUUGGAAGCAUAGAUAGAAGUAAGGACAUUGCCCGAUUGCAAGAGUUCUCGAGAGUUACAGAAAGAAGAAUAAUAAUGUUGUGGAUGAUCAAUUACGUGAGGAGGAAAUGCAGUUCAGGGAAUCUGGCCACAAUCUUGACGAGUUGGAGCGUAAGACUGUAAAGAGGAAAAGGGGUUUUGCUACCUUAAAGGUUUUAGGAACAGUGCUUAAGCAAUUGAGUGAAGAAAUUCCUUAUGAGCGUGUUAUCGAAUCAGAUUCUACAUCGACAGAGGAUCUGAUCACUUACAACAUCAUCCCUAUAGAUGCUACUUCUUCAACAAAUGCUAUUGUCUUUUUUCCUGAGGUGCAAGCAGCAGUUUCAGCUCUCAAGUAUUUCAGUGCCUUUGCCUAAACUACCCAAUGCUUAUUUCAUUUCUCCUACAAAAAGAUAAUGUAGCUAAUCAGCGUGAACACAUAGUUCAUCUUCUCGCGAAUGAGCAAUCUCGGCUUGGAGUUCCAGACAAAACCAAACCCGUAAGUAUUUGAUUCUCGUCACUUUGAGAUUCAUUCGCCUUAUUGAAUUUCCUCAAGUUUUUCUUGUUAAGUGCUUUAUUUGCAAAAUGUUACAUCAUUUACCGAAUGAAGUGAGUUUAAUAAAUAUUCAAAAUUUUAAACAUAAGUAUGGUUUAUUCUUUGUUUAUGUGAUCAAAUGAUACAUAAAAAACUAGGUGGUUUUAAAGUGAUUAAGCUCAUAGCCAUAGUAGGAGAGAGACAAUGCAGUAUAGAAAACAAAUUUGGUUUAUGCUCUUUAAGUUGACCUUGGAAGCAAGAUACCUGCUACAAAUAUUGAUGGAAUUGGAGAGUAUCAGAGGAAUAAAAAAGAGUUGCUCUAGAUUUUCAUUAAUAUCAUUCAAGUUUAAUAAUAUUCUCUGUAUUAUACUACUAACGCCUGUGUAUUUACAAGAGGUGUCGGAAAUGAAGUUUCUGGUGGCGGAUGAGGAGGAUUUUCACAAGCCAUCAGGAUCAGAGGGUUCUUGAUGCUAUAUGAGGGUUUGAGAAUUCCGAGAGAGAAGAGAGUUCUAAAAGUGUUAGUGAAACUCAUGUUUCCAGAAACUUAAUGAAGCAGCCUUGGAGAAAGUAUUCCUCAAGUCCCUUGAGAAUUACAUAAAUUGGAGCAACUACUUAUGCAUUCAGCCUGUUUGGAGCAGUUUUGAAGCUGUUAAUGAAGGGAAGAAAUUGCUGUAUGUUUCUUUAUACCUCCUAAUAUGGGGUGAAGCUUCCAAUGUUAGAUUUCUACCAGAAUGUUUGUGCUACAUAUUCCAUCAAAUGGCUAGAGAGAUGGAUGAGGUUUUAAGGCAGCAAAUUGCUCAGACAGCCAAUAGUUGCACUUCUGAGGACGGUGUUUCAUUUCUUGAUCAUGUUAUCCUUCCUCUCUAUGACGUUAUUUCUGCAUGCAGUAAUGUCAAAAGAGUAAAUAAGUUCUGUACAUCAGCAGUAGAUGAUACACAUAAUUUUAUGCUGUGGAUGGAUAUGCAUAAAAUCAUUUAACUAUCUUACUUUUUGAACAUGCAUGGCCAUUCAUUUCAGUAAUUAUGUGUCAUCAGAAUCUCUAUUUCUCUUCCAAUUACUUGAAAAUUCACUACUACCUGUGAGCUUUCUCGGCAAGGUAUUGUCAUUCAGUAGACCCUGCAUAAGAAACACGUCAGAAAUACUGUAAUUUUCAUUACAAACAAAAAGUCGUUAUGCAAAUAGACAAUGAUGUUGUACACUUAACUGUGCAAUAACCGUAAUCAAUAAGUUACUCUAUUCCCCUUAUAUACCUGGAAAAAUGUUUUUGUGGCA
Molecule: RNA transcript, 1973 nt
Organism: Trifolium pratense (red clover)
Lineage: Eukaryota; Viridiplantae; Streptophyta; Magnoliopsida; Fabales; Fabaceae
Gene name: callose synthase 9-like
Exons: 8
Source: RefSeq, a predicted model, not a curated record